AUUGAACGCUGGCGGCAUGCUUUACACAUGCAAGUCGAACGGCAGCAUGGGUGCUUGCACCUGAUGGCGAGUGGCGAACGGGUGAGUAACAUAUCGGAACAUAUCCGGAAGUGGGGGAUAACGUAGCGAAAGUUACGCUAAUACCGCAUAUGCCCUGAGGGGGAAAGGAGGGGAUCGUAAGACCUUUCGCUUUCGGAGUGGCCGAUAUCAGAUUAGCUUGUUGGUGAGGUAAAGGCUCACCAAGGCGACGAUCUGUAGCUGGUCUGAGAGGACGACCAGCCACACUGGGACUGAGACACGGCCCAGACUCCUACGGGUGGCAG
This 323-nucleotide ribosomal RNA is filed under the name uncultured Pseudomonadota bacterium. RNAcentral describes it as "bacterial SSU rRNA". It matches the Rfam family "Bacterial small subunit ribosomal RNA", at positions 30 to 351 of the family's 1533-position model. Lineage: Bacteria; Pseudomonadati; Pseudomonadota. The record is from RNAcentral.